GUUUUUGUGUUUGAGAAUUAUUCUCUCAGAUAUCUAAACAUUAUGUAUACUUCCUUGUGUUUUGUCAGGAUAGAGACUGUGCUUUGUCACCUGAUGAACUUAAGGAUUUAUUCAAAGUUUUCCCUUAUAUACCUUGGGGACCAGAUGUGAAUAACACAGUUUGUACAAAUGAAAAAGGCUGGAUAACCUAUCAGGGAUUCCUUUCCCAGUGGACGUGAGUAUAGAGCUCACUUCUUUCCUCUAGAACCACCACUAGUUUAAAAUUGUGGUAUAUUAUAUUCAUCAUUUUGUAAGCUUGUCAGAGCCUAUGAAAUUCUUCAAUCAUAACUGUUUCUUAAGCAGGAUUUGUAGUGCUGCUGGGAUUAUAAACACUUUUUAGAUUUAUCUGGAAGCGAUUAUUUUCUUUUGGAUGAUGUACUAGGAAACAGUAAUCUAAGUCUUACAUCAAAAAUGAACUUUAUUUUAAUACUUUUUUGUUUGAUUAAGAAAAUUGGGGCUGGGGUUGUGGCUCAGUGAUAGAGCACUUACCUGGCAUAUGUGAGGCACUGGUUUCGAUUCUCAGCACCG
This 567-nucleotide long non-coding RNA is filed under the name Marmota monax (woodchuck). Lineage: Eukaryota; Metazoa; Chordata; Mammalia; Rodentia; Sciuridae. The record is from RNAcentral.